GGGUAGCUAGAAUAAGGAGUCAGUUCCAAGACUAUGUAAAACACAGGCUGGCCACUUAAAGAUGCCUGACAUUUCCAGGAAUUAAGGUCAGUAUAGUGUCUACAAAUGAGCUACUUAGUCUUAAGAUAUCUUUUAUUUUUAUGCCUAAAGAUAAUAUUGGCCUGGAGUGCAGUAUUAUUAAAUCAUUAUUUUUUUUAAAGAUUUAUUUAUUUAUUAUAUGUAAGUACACUGUAGCUGUCUUCAGACACACCAGAAGAGGGCGUCAGAUCUCAUUACGGAUGGUUGUGAGCCACCAUGUGGUUGCUGGGAUUUGAACUCCAGACCUUUGGAAGAGCAGUCGGGUACUCUUACCCACUGAGCCAUCUCACCAGCCCCAAAAUCAUUAUUUUUCUGAGUGGUCUAAACCCACUUGGGAUUCUUCCACUUUGACCUGGAGUUGUGGGAUUGUAGGCAUGUACCACUGUAUCAUGUUAAAGUCAUUGAUUUUCUGAUGCUCUGGAGCUGUCAUAGAGGCCUUGUAAUAAUGCCUCCAAACAUCUGGAGACACCAGAAAGGUUUAAGGUUAUAAUCUCAGGUAACUGCUCUGGCUUUAACAAUUGGCUAAUCCUAGUGGACAGCACUAAUAGCUGCCUCUGAAAAGUAAAGAGCUUACCCAUGGCUUGGUGCAGCUCUGAGUACCUACAUUUGAUUUGGAUGCCAGUAAAAUGCCAGAUGACUUGGCGUCUGCCAGUAAUCCCAGUACUUGGGAAGCAAAGGUAAGAGGACAAGUGUGAGUCAGCUUGCAUUACAUAUGACUUACAGAUUAGGUUCUACCUGUGACAUCCAAGUCCAUUAUCUAAACAGUAGGGACGAGGUGGUACGACUGGAGCAGACUCACCUCUUACUCCAGAACCCAGCUACCACAAAGUUUGAAAGCUGCUUUCAUCACCAUAGCUAAUGCCAUUUUUAUCUGAAGAUGCUUCUGCACUUGUAUUAUUCAUCUCCCAUGAUUUUGAAACAAGUUCACCCUAUUUGCUUCCCUCCAAGAACACUUGUAGGAAUCCAUCCAGUUUUAAUCAGUAUAACUUUCUGUUCAAACCACUGUGAUUCUGACACUUCAGUUAGCAAUACUCUCAAUAUUUGGAGGAGGUAAAAAAAAAAUCAAGAAGAUGCUGGGCAUGAUGAUGUAUGCCUUAUAUCGCAGCAUUUUGGAGUCAGAGGCAAGUGCAUCUCUGAGAUCCAGGGAAAUUGUGGGACUGUAUCAAAAAAAACUAGAAAAUAAAAUAAGAAAUUAGAAAAUCAAUCAAGAUGAAAGAUGUGGGGUAUCUGCAUCUGGGUGAUAUCUGUGUGGUUGAAUUGUUCCUUUGUGUGCACGCUCGGGGAUUCAGCCUCUGUAGUCACUUGGUAGCAUUCCACUUUGGAAAUAGUGAAGGAAACAUUAAGUUCUAUGUGGAAAAUGUGUAGAGGACCGAAAGUUUUCAAUGUAAGUAGCUCUUCCUGGUUGGGGUGUCUCUCAGCUGCUGUGCUCCCGUGGCUAUAAAAAGCAAUUGCUUCCUCAUUUUAGAUACAGAUUUCAGAUGAAAAGGCAGAUUUUCCUGUUUGACUGUAUUGUGCUAUCAACACAUCAGGAGUGAGUGGAAUGUUCUUUGAGCAAUAAAAAAAGGCAUGUGGCCAUUCUGUAACAGCACUUGGGCUUCUCAACUUUUGCCUUCCUUUCCACUCCAUACUUUCUUACCCACAGAACUUGAAAAAAAAAUUACAAAAUAAUUUGUUUCCAUAUCAGACUUUAGACUGUGCAUACAGCUCUUAGCCAAUUGUAAUACAUCUUCUGGUUUUCCCUUCAAAAUUAUCAGUGUCUAAGGGCCAGUUCAGGGAGCAUCAUCUCCUUGAUGCCUGCCUGCAUGCCUCUAGCAUACAGUGUGCCUUGCCUGUCCUCUGAACUUGGUAUUGAUGAGGUUUUCAUUAGGAUAGAUUUUAAGUCUGUUCUGUGUGUACCUAUCUUUAUAAUCUACUUCAAAUCAUGAUCUCAUCUUUUUAGAUCCAUGAGCUGAGUUGUUGGUAUGUGGUGGGAAUCUUCAUUCCCUCUAAAAGCACAUGCAGCCACUUUCUGUAUGAUCCUGCCAGCUAGUUGACAGCUGCAGUCUAGUUGCUUCCCUGAUGUUAAACACUAUUUAGCCUCAUUGUUUCAUUGAGAGCUCUUUUCUCAACCUAAGACCAAGCCUUCAUAAGCCAGUUAAUGUGUUGACAAAGAGGCUAGAAAGGCUAUGGUUUCUGGGUAGAAGAAAGGUCAUCUUUCAUAGAAUGUUCUACAUCAGUGGUUCUCACUAUGGGUCACGACCCCUUUGAGGGUUGCAUAUCAGGAUAUCCUGCAUAUCAGAUACUUAUAUUAUCUAGUAGUAAAACUAUAGUUAUGAAGGAACAACAAAAUAACUUUAUAUGGUUGGGGCCAUCACAGCAUGAGGAACUGUAUUAGAGGUGUGCAGUGUUAGGAAGGUUGGGAACUGCUCUUCUACAGGACCCGCAGUCUGAAGUGCCAUGCAGUUGUGCAGUCUGCCUCCAAAUAUUUCUGCUGAAAAAAGUUUAUUUACACUAAAUACUACUAUUUGACAGCCUUUGGGCAGUUACAAAGAAAACAAACCUGCAAAUCUCCAACUAUGGUGGUGCAGCUUGGACUGGCUCUGCAGUCUGUUUGUGCUUUUGUGGGCGUUUGGCCAGAACAAAAAUAGUAAUGCCAGACCUUGAAGGAGAGUGAUUUCCCAGGUUUAUAUAUCUGAUUCUGUAGACAUUUAAAGCUGUGAGUUUAAAUUUUUUUCAAAAUAUAGUUCUUUAUCAGAGUAAUAACUAAGGGCAAAUUUAGAAAUUACUUUUACAAAUAUAAUUUUUUAAAGCCACCAAAUUUCUAACACAUCAUUAGUUUUUCACCCUAAAGGGAAUUUUCCAAAAGGUACCUUUGUCUGGCCAUACUUGAGAUUUGUGUCAGGUUUUUCUCUUCUGUUUACAGUUACAAGCUUGAAUAUUGCGUUCUUCUUCAGGAAUUUGCUUUCUAAAGGGCAGGGUUGGCUAUUUGCUUUUCUUAUUUACAAAAAUGUGGGUGAGACCAUGGUGUUUGUUCAUAAUCAUAUGGACUGUGUUUGCACAGCCUUGUGGCAGAGCAAGUAAAGUUUACCCUCGUAGUUUCUUGAAGACUGAUACUUUUUCAUUA
RNAcentral lists this long non-coding RNA (3181 nucleotides) under Mus musculus (house mouse). RNAcentral describes it as "long non-coding RNA chr1:85807911-85811092". The record is from RNAcentral. Lineage: Eukaryota; Metazoa; Chordata; Mammalia; Rodentia; Muridae.